Unclassified non-coding RNA from Cavia porcellus (domestic guinea pig), 101 nucleotides. Its record names the gene Vault. It matches the Rfam family "Vault RNA". From Rfam's summary of the family: This family of RNAs are found as part of the enigmatic vault ribonucleoprotein complex. The complex consists of a major vault protein (MVP), two minor vault proteins (VPARP and TEP1), and several small untranslated RNA molecules. Lineage: Eukaryota; Metazoa; Chordata; Mammalia; Rodentia; Caviidae. The record is from Ensembl.
GGGCUGGCUUUCGCCCAGCGGUUCCUUGGAGUCUGGCUUCCCAACCGCUGGGGCCGAUUGAUUCGGUGGUUCGAGACCCACGGACACUCUCCAGUCCUUAA